CCUGAUGCAGCCAUGCCGCGUGUGUGAAGAAGGCCUUAGGGUUGUAAAGCACUUUCAGCGAGGAGGAAGGCAUCACACUUAAUACGUGUGGUGAUUGACGUUACUCGCAGAAGAAGCACCGGCUAACUCCGUGCCAGCAGCCGCGGUAAUACGGAGGGUGCAAGCGUUAAUCGGAAUUACUGGGCGUAAAGCGCACGCAGGCGGUUUGUUAAGUCAGAUGUGAAAUCCCCGCGCUUAACGUGGGAACUGCAUUUGAAACUGGCAAGCUAGAGUCUUGUAGAGGGGGGUAGAAUUCCAGGUGUAGCGGUGAAAUGCGUAGAGAUCUGGAGGAAUACCGGUGGCGAAGGCGGCCCCCUG
RNAcentral lists this ribosomal RNA (357 nucleotides) under Rahnella aquatilis. RNAcentral describes it as "bacterial SSU rRNA". It matches the Rfam family "Bacterial small subunit ribosomal RNA", at positions 382 to 731 of the family's 1533-position model. The record is from RNAcentral. Lineage: Bacteria; Pseudomonadati; Pseudomonadota; Gammaproteobacteria; Enterobacterales; Yersiniaceae.